AAAUGGGCUAAGUCGGGGCAGCUAGGCCUUGCCUACAUCGGAAAAUGGUCUUUAUGUCCGAGCUGAAGCCUUGUGGGCGGCAUGCUAAAGAUUUGCUGUCCUUUUAGUUGGCGUCGAAGUAUUGCCGCUUCGGGCGCUUUAAUUAGGAAACCCCGCCAGGGCCGGAAGGCAGCAACGGUAACUUAGCUAAGGUGUGCUAAAGCGAUACAGUAUGGAGCUGGCUAGGAGGGUAACAUCAGGUGUUUGGUUGUGUCCACCAUGAGGCAUGCCCAUUA
This 275-nucleotide signal recognition particle RNA is filed under the name Nanobdellota archaeon. Its description in RNAcentral is "signal recognition particle sRNA". It matches the Rfam family "Archaeal signal recognition particle RNA". Lineage: Archaea; Nanobdellati; Nanobdellota. The record is from RNAcentral.